AGCCCCGGAGCCUUUUAGGGCUCAUCUUCAAAUUUGCAUUUUGACGUAAAAUACCUCAGGGCUAU
This 65-nucleotide transfer RNA is filed under the name Anolis sp. STRI652. Its description in RNAcentral is "tRNA-Cys". The record is from RNAcentral. Lineage: Eukaryota; Metazoa; Chordata; Lepidosauria; Squamata; Anolidae.